This 372-nucleotide ribosomal RNA is filed under the name uncultured organism. Its description in RNAcentral is "bacterial SSU rRNA". It matches the Rfam family "Bacterial small subunit ribosomal RNA", at positions 526 to 896 of the family's 1533-position model. The record is from RNAcentral.
CAGAGGUGCCGAGCGUUAGGCGGAAUCACUGGGCUUAAAGCGUGUGUAGGCGGACUUCUAAGUACCUUGUGAAAUCCCAUGGCUUAACCAUGGAACUGCUGGGUAUACUGGUUGUCUUGAGCCAACUAGGGGCUACCGGAACAAAUGGUGGAGCGGUGAGAUGCGUAGAUAUCAUUUGGAACGCCAAUGGUGAAAACAGGUAGCUGGGGUUGUGCUGACGCUGAGACACGAAAGCCAGGGGAGCGAACGGGAUUAGAUACCCCGGUAGUCCUGGCCGUAAACGAUGUCGACUAGAUCGUGGAACCUCUGACGGUGUCACGGUCGAAGCAAAAGUGCUAAGUCGACCGCCUGGGAAGUACGGUCGCAAGGCUA